UAGUCCACGCCCUAAACGAUGCACACUAGUUGUUGGUAUGCGAGACAUAUCAGUAAUGCAGUAAACACAUUAAGUGUGCCGCCUGGGGAGUACGGUCGCAAGAUUAAAACUCAAAGGAAUAGACGGGGACCCGCACAAGCGGUGGAGCAUGUGGUUUAAUUCGACGAUACGCGAAGAACCUUACCUGGACUUGACAUAGUAAGAAGACUUAAGAGAUUAGGUUGUGUCUGCUUGCAGAAGCUUACAUACAGGUGCUGCACGGCUGUCGUCAGCUCGUGUCGUGAGAUGUUGGGUUAAGUCCCGCAACGAGCGCAACCCUCGUAUUUAGUUGCUAACAGGUUAAGCUGAGAACUCUAAAUAGACUGCCUGGGUAACCAGGAGGAAGGUGGGGACGACGUCAAGUCAUCAUGGCCCUUAUGUCCAGGGCUACACACGUGCUACAAUGGAGUAUACAAAGAGGAACGAUAUCAAGAGAUGGAGUAGAUCUAG
This 489-nucleotide ribosomal RNA is filed under the name uncultured bacterium. RNAcentral's name for it is "bacterial SSU rRNA". It matches the Rfam family "Bacterial small subunit ribosomal RNA", at positions 791 to 1276 of the family's 1533-position model. The record is from RNAcentral.